CAAGCACCUCGCUAGGUGAGGCGUCUGCGCGGAUACAGGCCACUGACCUCAAAUGUCGAAAGACGCCCAGGGUCAGGACAGCUCUUCCCGGCUUAAGGGUUGAGCCCAAGUGGCUUCCGGGUUUUCGGGAUACGCCGCGCAGUGCCAAAGCUCUGUCGAGAGGGGUGCGGC
This 171-nucleotide small RNA is filed under the name Mycobacterium sp. Its description in RNAcentral is "Magnesium sequence". It matches the Rfam family "M-box riboswitch aptamer (ykoK leader)". From Rfam's summary of the family: M-box riboswitch, also know as ykoK leader is described as a metaloregulatory RNA that sense divalent metals and function as a genetic control element of genes related to divalent metal transport in bacteria. It was first reported upstream of the B.subtilis ykoK gene and genes with related functions in other bacteria. The record is from RNAcentral. Lineage: Bacteria; Bacillati; Actinomycetota; Actinomycetes; Mycobacteriales; Mycobacteriaceae.